This 710-nucleotide ribosomal RNA is filed under the name Streptomyces sp. LK2234.5. RNAcentral describes it as "partial 16S ribosomal RNA". It matches the Rfam family "Bacterial small subunit ribosomal RNA", at positions 77 to 803 of the family's 1533-position model. Lineage: Bacteria; Bacillati; Actinomycetota; Actinomycetes; Kitasatosporales; Streptomycetaceae. The record is from RNAcentral.
CCUGCGGGAGNNUNUUAAUGGCGAANGGGUGAGUAACACGUGGGCAAUCUGCCCUUCACUCUGGGACAAGCCCUGGAAACGGGGUCUAAUACCGGAUACGACACGGGGUCGCAUGACCUCCGUGUGGAAAGCUCCGGCGGUGAAGGAUGAGCCCGCGGCCUAUCAGCUUGUUGGUGGGGUGAUGGCCUACCAAGGCGACGACGGGUAGCCGGCCUGAGAGGGCGACCGGCCACACUGGGACUGAGACACGGCCCAGACUCCUACGGGAGGCAGCAGUGGGGAAUAUUGCACAAUGGGCGAAAGCCUGAUGCAGCGACGCCGCGUGAGGGAUGACGGCCUUCGGGUUGUAAACCUCUUUCAGCAGGGAAGAAGCGAAAGUGACGGUACCUGCAGAAGAAGCGCCGGCUAACUACGUGCCAGCAGCCGCGGUAAUACGUAGGGCGCAAGCGUUGUCCGGAAUUAUUGGGCGUAAAGAGCUCGUAGGCGGCUUGUCACGUCGGAUGUGAAAGCCCGGGGCUUAACCCCGGGUCUGCAUUCGAUACGGGCAGGCUAGAGUUCGGUAGGGGAGAUCGGAAUUCCUGGUGUAGCGGUGAAAUGCGCAGAUAUCANGANNAACACCGGUGGCGAANGCGGAUCUCUGGGCCGAUACUGACGCUGAGNAGCGAAGGCGUGGGAGCGANANANAUNNAUAUCCUGGUAGUCNNCNCNNC